RNAcentral lists this ribosomal RNA (711 nucleotides) under uncultured bacterium. RNAcentral describes it as "bacterial SSU rRNA". It matches the Rfam family "Bacterial small subunit ribosomal RNA", at positions 780 to 1496 of the family's 1533-position model. The record is from RNAcentral.
GGAUACCUGGUAGUCACGCCUUAAACGAUAAUAUNAGGUGUGGUGGGCAAAGCCCAUUCGGUNCGCNGCAAACGCAAUAAGUAUCCACUGGGGGAGUACGUUCGCAAGAAUGAACUCAAAGGAAUUGACGGGGACCCGCACAAGCGGUGGAGCAUGUGGUNUAUUCGAAGCAACGCGAAGAACCUUACCAAGUCUUGACAUCUCCNUGACCGGUGAGUANAGUCACCAUUCCUUCGGGACAGGGAAGACAGGUGGUGCAUGGUUGUCGUCAGCUCGUGUCGUGAGAUGUUGGGUUAAGUCCCGCAACGAGCGCAACCCUUAUUCUUAGUAGCCAGCAGGUAAAGCUGGGCACUCUGGGAAGACUGCCAGGGAUAACCUGGAGGAAGGUGGGGAUGACGUCAAAUCAUCAUGCCCCUUAUGAUUUGGGCUACACACGUGCUACAAUGGCGUAAACAAAGGGAGGCAAAGGAGUAAUCUGGAGCAAACCCCAAAAAUAACGUCUCAGUUCGGACUGUGGUCUGCAACCCGACCACACGAAGCUGGAAUCGCUAGUAAUCGCGAAUCAGAAUGUCGCGGUGAAUACGUUCCCGGGUCUUGUACACACCGCCCGUCACACCAUGGGAGUCAGCAACGCCCGAAGUCAGUGACCUAACCUUAUAGGGAGGAGCUGCCGAAGGCGGGGCCGGUAACUGGGGUGAAGUCGUAACAAGG